RNAcentral lists this long non-coding RNA (504 nucleotides) under Fukomys damarensis (Damara mole-rat). Its description in RNAcentral is "lncRNA (ENSFDAG00000024334.1)". Lineage: Eukaryota; Metazoa; Chordata; Mammalia; Rodentia; Bathyergidae. The record is from RNAcentral.
AUGGCUGAAAGCCUCCCGAACGGUCCGAAAGGCCUAGGGUAUUUCACAGAGGAAGAGCGAGGGAGACAUUGUGCCUGGACCACCCAAGGAAAAGCUCCCUCCAAAGUGUUCAGCCCUGCCCUCGCAGCCCUCUGGCCUACCCUGGCACGCCUGAGCUCAGGCCGUUUCUAUCCCAGCACCCAGCAGCAGUCGCCAGGCCCUGUCCCCCAGAGGGGAGCCCCGUGUGUAGCUGAACAGGCCCUCAGCAAGUCACCGCAGCAGCCCAGAAGGACCACACCAGCUGAGCCUGGCCAAGCUUUCCAGGUGGCCCGGACUUUUAACCUGCGGACAGCUAGGAGCCGGGGAGGCAGCUGACCGUGAAAUACGCUUGAACUCACUCAAUUCUUCUCAGAGGAUUUCCAAUGACAACUGAAAUUGGCCCUUCAAGAACGAAACAGAAAUGUCCCUUUGUCCGGAGGGAGACCCCGGGAGACUUAUGACAUCGCAUGAGCUGUCUUGAAGCUG